AGAAGGGAGCUGCUGUCUGAGGAGGAAACUGCAUCUUCACGGGCCAGCUACGAGAGGAUCUGGGGUCGCGCUGGGCGCCCGACGGACCCUCCCCAGGGACUCGCCUGCCCCACACCGCCCGGCCUUGCCCGGCGCUCCGCGUCAAGUUCCCCAGCCGCAGCCUUACCUACGGGCUCCAGAAUCCUCAGGGCUUCCAGAGGAUGCUCAGCCCACCGACGGGGACCUCGGGGCAGCAGUGAGGGGGGCACCCAGCCCCCCAUUCAGCUCCUGUCCUCUUGGGCCGGGGGCCUCCCCGGGGGGAAGAGCAUGGUGGUUUUCCCUUGGAGCCCCCUGGCUUGGUACGUCUGAGAAGAUGCCUGCCAUGAGGCUCUUCACUUGCUUCCUGCAGCUUCUGGCUGGGCUGGCACUGCCGGCUGUGCCCCCCCAGCAGUGGGCCUUGUCUGCUGGGAACAGCUCAUCGGAGGUGGAAGUGGUGCCCUUCCAGGAGGUGUGGGGCCGCAGCUACUGCCGGGCGCUGGAGAGGCUGGUGGACAUCGUGUCUGUGUACCCCAGUGAGGUGGAGCACAUGUUCAGCCCGUCCUGCGUCUCCCUGCUGCGCUGCACCGGCUGCUGUGGCGACGAGAACCUGCACUGUGUGCCCGUGGAGACGGUCAAUGUCACCAUGCAGCUCCUGAAGAUCCGCUCUGGGGACCGGCCCUCCUACGUGGAGCUGACAUUCUCUCAGCACGUGCGCUGCGAGUGCAGGUGGGUCCUGGGGUGUGGCAGGGACAGUCCCCACGCACUUGGCAGCUUCAGCCCAGGGGCUGCCCAUUCCUGCUUCAGGCCACACUUCCUUCCUGGCUGAGGCAGGCUAGGGAGACCGGGGGCCAGGGGCAGUUGCCUUGUGUCUCCCCAGCAGCUGGUUUUGCCCCGGGAAGUGGUCCCAGCAGCUGGAGCACAGCUGCCAAGAAGCCACAGGGACAAAGGGAGCUGGGGUCCCUCCCAGACUUGCAGGGGGCUCGGGGCCCACCCUCUCCGACCCUGAGCAGGAGGUGGCUGCCACAGCCCUAGCAGAGGUGCCUGGAUUUAGUUGUAGGCCAGGCUGGUGCCUACAGGAGGGGUAGCUGGGCUGAGAAGCACAAGACGACAAGCCUGGGUGGGAGGAAAGGGACAGAGGGAAGAAGGCCCUGGCUUUCUUUCAAGUCACACCCCUGCCUGGCAGAGCCUCUCAUUGGCACCAGUCUUGCUGUGGGUGCCCAAGGCACUCUGCACGUUAGUUACCGGGAGCAGCAGGGCCAGCACUGCCAACCAGGCUCAGGGAAGAGAAAAAUGGGCUCAGGUGCUCUCCUGGUGCCCCUCGGCCAUGGAUGGAGGCACCAGGCCAGAGGUCCCAAGCCCUAUCGGGGGGCAGGAAGAGGGGAGGAUCUCCAUUUAUGGGGCACCUACUCUGUGCCUUGAGGCACUUGAAUGUGUUUUCUCAUUUAUUUAACAAACAUCUAUGGAGCACCUACUGUAUGCUAGGCACUGUCCCAGAUGCCUGGGGUACAGUAGUGAGCAAGACACACCAGGUCCCUGCUCUCAUAACCCCAGGAGGUAGGUACUAUUGGCAUCCCAUUGUGCAGAUGAGGAAACCGAGGCUCGGUGUGAGUCUGUGAUUUGUCACAGCUAGUGAGUGAACCCCAGCCUGUCUGACUCCUAAGCCUGCCCCUUUCCUGCUCCCUGUCAUGGCCAUGGCCUCACUCUCCAGGAGUCCCAGACUGCCCUGGCCUUGGUCCUGCCUAGAGUCCAGGACACUGGCCACCCCUCGUGGACCUGUACCACUGUUAGAGGCCCUGCCUCAGUCUGUUUCCUCCUGUCUGUCCUUAGCCGUGUAACAAUAGUUCAGUAAUGAACCCUUUCAGACACAGUACUGGACAAUGACCUUUCACCUCCCACAUCACCUUUGCCCUCACAAUUGGUCUAUUAGGGCAGGUAGAUGAGGAGACUGAGGGCUAUAGAGUGUCUCUGACUGGUCCCAGAUGGCAGAGACAGGACCAGGCAGUUUCAGGAAGGGCUGGUACCCUAUCCUGGCUUCCCCCAGCCCUAAAGCUGACUGCACCACACUGCCCCAUGCCCUCACCCUGGUUCCCAGGGAAGACUGAGGCUCCAUCCCCUUUCAGAGGGCUGGGCAACAGGGCUACCUUUCUCCUCUCUCGGGGUCAACAGCCACAGCCCUGAGAGGCAGAGCCAGGACAAGCUUGGCGACUGUGGGGCCUGUGCUCCCCUCCCUUCACCCCACUCCUCACCUGAGCCCCUUGCUGUUGCCUGCAGCGUCACACAUCUCCAGGAUGGGGGUGCAGCUGUGCCCUGACAGGUGGCCUUGCCCCUCUUUCAUGGUCUGAGGAGACUCCCAGAGGGCAUUCUGGAAGGAAGAGCAGGCACAAGGGAAGAGAGUGAAACAAGAAAGGUGGCAGAAAGGAGAGUCAGUCCCCUGAUUUGACGCCAAGAGGGAGAGUAGAGCAGAGGGUGUGGAGAGGACCCCAAGAGGGCAUUCACACCUCUCUGCAUGGGGUCACCAGAGCCUAGAGUGGGAGCCCCAGGCCCCAGACUUCUGGGCAUCGCUCCCUCACUGGCUCCAUGCUACCCCCUAGUGGCUUCAAUGCCAACUACAGGAUCGGCACUAGAAAGGAGGAGACCCAAGGGCAGGGGGAAGAGGAAGAGAGAGAAGCAGAGACACACAGACUGCCACCUGUGCGGUGAUACUGUUCCCCGGAGGUAACCAGCCCCUCGGAGGAGAGAGACGGAGACCCCACGCCCGGCUCGUGUAUUUAUUACCGUUACACUCUCAGUUACCUCCCUGCUGGCACCUGCCCUCUAUUUAUUAGCCAAGUGUAUCCCUGCUGAAUGACUCACUCCCUUCAAGAUGAGGGGCAGGAAGGGACAGGACCCUCAGGAAUUCAGUGCCUUAAACAGAACGUGAGAGAAAGAAAGAAGACAGAUCCACGCGUGCGUCAUCUGGGGAAGAAGCAAGACUUGUGGCUUUGUGAGGGGCGUGUCACACCCCAGAGGCCUGAGGGUCUCCAGGGUGCUGGAGAGGGAGGGACGGGGGGGACAUGCCACCUGUCCCCAGGGCCUUGGGCUCUGCCGGGACCAGCAGCCCUUGCCUGGGGAGCUCCCUGCCGGGAUGAGGGUGGAGGAGCCUUCUCUGGCCACCGUGGCCCCUGCCGGGAGGGCGGGCAAGCAGCAGCCCCGCGCCCUGGAGACAGGAUGUUCAGCUCUGGAGACCAGUGGUUGCCUGGGGGCCUUUGCCACUCCUUGUCCCCUAGGUCUCGCCUCAUAUCUUACCACCGCUUGUGCUGGGACAUUGCUCUUUAUGCCAAGGCAUCCCCACCUGCCCCUCUCGGGGACGCAGGCAGAGAGGGCCCAGGCUGGUCAUGGAGCAAGCUGUCCCCGCGAGGCCAUCUGACCGCCAAGCCAGAUUCUCUUGAAUAAAGUACUCUAGUCUGGAAGCGGCUUUCCGGGGGAGUGAGUGUGACCACGAGAGCAGAGGGCAACAGCGGGAAUGGGAGCAGUACGGGACAAAAAGGGACCGUGGGCCGCAAGGCUGCCCAUGGCCCGGCUCCAGCCUGCCCCUGCCCUUCCCUGGCCUUCUUCCAGCUGCUUUAGGCACCACCCUGAGGCCCAUGCCUCCCAGAAAGAGGGUUUCCUAAGAUGGAGCCUUGGCCCCAAACUUGGGGGCACCUGACCCCGGUCAACCCCGAACACUCUCAAAUUCAAGAACAUGGUCCCGGAGUUCCCGUUGUGGCACCGCGGAAACAAAUCCGACUAGGAACCAUGAGGUUGCGGGUUCGAUCCCUGGCCUUGCUCAGUGGGUUGCGGAUCCAGCGUUGCCGUGAGCUGUGGUGUAGGUCGCAGACGCAGCUCGGAUCCCAAGUUGCUGAGGCUGUGGUGUAGGCCAGCCCCUGCAGCUCUGCUUUGACCCCUAGCCUGGAAACCUCCCUAUGCUGUGGUAUGGCCCUAAAAAGC
This 3984-nucleotide long non-coding RNA is filed under the name Sus scrofa (pig). RNAcentral describes it as "lncRNA (ENSSSCG00030034449.1)". The record is from RNAcentral. Lineage: Eukaryota; Metazoa; Chordata; Mammalia; Artiodactyla; Suidae.